This 763-nucleotide ribosomal RNA is filed under the name uncultured bacterium. RNAcentral describes it as "bacterial SSU rRNA". It matches the Rfam family "Bacterial small subunit ribosomal RNA", at positions 8 to 796 of the family's 1533-position model. The record is from RNAcentral.
AGAGUUUGAUCAUGGCUCAGGACGAACGCUGGCGGCGUGCCUAACACAUGCAAGUCGAACGGGACCGCAAGGUUCAGUGGCGGACGGGUGCGUAACACGUGAGGAACAUAUCCAUCGAUGGGGGAUAGCCGGCCCAACGGCCGGGUAAUACCGCGUACGACCUUCGAGUGGCAUCGCUUGAAGGUGAAAGCAGCAAUGCGUCGAUGGGGUGCCUCGCGGCCUAUCAGCUAGUUGGUGAGGUAAUGGCUCACCAAGGCUACGACGGGUAGCUGGUCCGAGAGGAUGACCAGCCACAUUGGGACUGAGACACGGCCCAGACUCCUACGGGAGGCAGCAGUGGGGAAUAUUGCGCAAUGGGCGAAAGCCUGACGCAGCGACGCCGCGUGUGGGAUGAAGGUCUUCGGAUUGUAAACCACUGUCGCGAGGGACGAAGCUCUGACGGUACCUCGAAAGGAAGCACCGGCUAACUCUGUGCCAGCAGCCGCGGUAAUACAGAGGGUGCAAGCGUUGUCCGGAAUCACUGGGCGUAAAGGGCGCGUAGGCGGCUUGGUAAGUAGGGGGUGAAAUCUCACGGCUCAACUGUGAGGCUGCCUUCUAGACUGCCGAGCUUGAGCACAGUAGAGGCUGGUGGAAUUCCCGGUGUAGCGGUGGAAUGCGUAGAGAUCGGGAAGAACAUCUGUGGCGAAGGCGGCCAGCUGGGCUGUUGCUGACGCUGAUGCGCGACAGCGUGGGGAGCAAACAGGAUUAGAUACCCUAGUAGUCC